CCAUUUGGAGGGGAGAGUUAAGAGGACGUGAACCGGUGAGGUGGAAACGGAUAGAGUCGGCGUAUCAUUUCAAUUAUUCAUUUACAUUAUUUUUAUGUUGUGACCUCUGAGCUCCAGAUUGGGACAGAGGGAAUCAGCAUAAUUUUUUGUGGUGCAUUUACUUGAUUGGUGCUUGGGGAUGUUUGAGGCAGAUUUGUUUCCGUCGUUUUGAGGCCAGCUUGCUGGUACCCAAACGGUGUUAGCAUUUUUUGUCUUGGGCAUUUGAGUAUGGCUCACGGGUAUUUAUUGGACAGAUCUGAGUGUAAGUUACGGUCGCAUGCGACACGUGCUUUUCAAUUAGUUCGGUCCAGUUAAUGCUCUCGUACUCGUUCCCCAUGUAAAAGCCGGUCAUCUAUCCGACCCGUCUUGAAACACGGACCAAGGAGUUUAUCGUGUGCGCAAGUUUUUGGGUGUUAAAAACUUAAAAGCGAAAUGAAAGUAAAUGACUCUUUAGAGUCUGAUGUGCGAUCUUGUAAAAAAGUGUAGCAUGGCCCCAUUCUAACUGUUUACAGUAGGGUGGCGGAAGAGCGUACGCGGUGAGACCCGAAAGAUGGUGAACUAUUCCUGAGCAGGACGAAGCCAGAGGAAACUCUGGUGGAAGUCCGAAGCGGUUCUGACGUGCAAAUCGAUCGUCUGACUUGGGUAUAGGGGCGAAAAGAACUAAAUCGAACCAUCUAGUAGUGUUUUUCUCUCUCCCGCAGAAAAAA
RNAcentral lists this ribosomal RNA (746 nucleotides) under Meloidogyne sp. MN-2011. RNAcentral's name for it is "eukaryotic LSU rRNA". It matches the Rfam family "Eukaryotic large subunit ribosomal RNA", at positions 371 to 982 of the family's 3401-position model. The record is from RNAcentral. Lineage: Eukaryota; Metazoa; Nematoda; Chromadorea; Rhabditida; Meloidogynidae.